RNAcentral lists this ribosomal RNA (507 nucleotides) under uncultured bacterium. Its description in RNAcentral is "partial 16S ribosomal RNA". It matches the Rfam family "Bacterial small subunit ribosomal RNA", at positions 28 to 507 of the family's 1533-position model. The record is from RNAcentral.
GACGAACGCUGGCGGCGUGCCUAAUACAUGCAAGUCGAACGCAUUUUCUUUCACCGUAGCUUGCUACACCGAAAGAAAAUGAGUGGCGAACGGGUGAGUAACACGUGGGUAACCUGCCCAUCAGCGGGGGAUAACACUUGGAAACAGGUGCUAAUACCGCAUAAUUCCAUUUACCGCAUGGUAAAUGGAUGAAAGGCGCUUUUGCGUCACUGAUGGAUGGACCCGCGGUGCAAUAGCUAGUUGGUGGGGUAACGGCCUACCAAGGCUGCGAUGCAUAGCCGACCUGAGAGGGUGAUCGGCCACACUGGGACUGAGACACGGCCCAGACUCCUACGGGAGGCAGCAGUAGGGAAUCUUCGGCAAUGGACGCAAGUCUGACCGAGCAACGCCGCGUGAGUGAAGAAGGUUUUCGGAUCGUAAAACUCUGUUGUUAGAGAAGAACAAGGAUGAGAGUGGAAAGUUCAUCCCUUGACGGUAUCUAACCAGAAAGCCACGGCUAACUACGUG